This 330-nucleotide ribosomal RNA is filed under the name Triticum aestivum (bread wheat). Its description in RNAcentral is "partial small subunit ribosomal RNA". The record is from RNAcentral. Lineage: Eukaryota; Viridiplantae; Streptophyta; Magnoliopsida; Poales; Poaceae.
AUGGUUAUUAGUACAACAUUUCAUGAAAGACAAGAAAUUAAAAGAAAGAGACAUUUUGAUGAGAACCCAGAUGACAAAAAUGUUGCCACACAGUCUACAAGAGGUCAUUUAGAAACGGUUAUUUUACAACUAUUGUUGAUCAAGCAAUUAUGUCACUUACAAGCAGAUUUGAACAAUAUGAGGUUAGCAGAAAAUUUUCGUUUCUUAUUUACUUCCAAAUCAUUGCAGUCAUUGGAUGAUGAGAGCUUGAAAUCUUGUGAUAAUCUUGAGGCGGCCCUUAAAAAAGAUAGCAAAUCUGACAUUGAUGCUAAUGAACUGCAGUGGAGUUGA